RNAcentral lists this long non-coding RNA (1153 nucleotides) under Triticum aestivum (bread wheat). Its description in RNAcentral is "long non-coding RNA (TAES_LNC002964)". The record is from RNAcentral. Lineage: Eukaryota; Viridiplantae; Streptophyta; Magnoliopsida; Poales; Poaceae.
UGUCAUCUAUCUCUUUUAAUUGAGUUAAUUUGCUUGCUGAAAUUAGGUUGAUGCCUUGUGUACUGUUUUUCUUGAUAUGUUUGAUGUUCAUCGAUCGUCCAGAUUUACUAGCACACCAGAUAGAAUUUGGGACUGAUGCCAUUCAAUAGAUUUUCUAGACAUUUUAUUGUGUCUCAUGCUGAAAAAGAAAAUGCACAAUGAGCUUGUUUGACUUUUUUGAUGCUUAGAGUAUACUUGAUCAGGGGGCAGUGUUAUUUCCUGUGAUCUUUCAUGUCAUUUGCUAGUGUGAUGCUUCAAGAUGACAAAUUUAAAAACCUAAACUAUUGUAAAUAAGCGUUCUACAUCUUGAGCAUUUAAAUGUGAGCACUUAACCAUUGUACAACUUUUUCAUAUUUUGUUUUGUAUUUCUUUUAUAAAUGAUGAUAGUCUACGCAAGAUGUACACAUGUUAAUUUUUGUUGACUUGAAUCUGUUAUGCCCUUGAUUUUUUUACUUAGCUUAACCCAGAACAACAACAUCCUUGAUAUUUACUGAUCCCCACCUCGCUCUUUGCACUCGCAGACUUGAAGGCAUCUAUCAUCCCAGCUUUCAGAAUGGAGAAACUAGUGAGUUUCAUAUAUGAUCUGAAUGAAAUGUUUAGGACUUGCGACAGUGGACUUUGCUACUGGUGCGAUCUAUUUCCUGUUUUUGUCUACUAAUCAUCAGUUACUAGAAUUUACCUUCUGCCUGCUACUGCUUGUUUCUUGACGCCACUAGUUUAUACUAAAAUGUGGAGACUUUACACCUUGCAAGAUCAUUCAGUGGUGGUGACCCAUAUGAUGGCGAUUCGCUCCGGCCAUUCUAGUUUUGGCGGUGGUGGUGCUGUUGCUCCUAUGAUGGUAGACUCUUAUGAUUCCCUUAGCCGCAUCCAUGGUGAUGAAGCUCGGCCUAGGCUAGAACCCCCUCCGGUGAGCUCCUCACGUCCUCUUAUACCCCUCCUACUUGCUUGUUGGUUCUAUGCUCCGCCUUUGUGAGGUGUAAUUGUUCAAUUUUGUUCAUAGUCGAGCAUUGGAUGAUAUUGUAUUUGUCAUGAUGUACAUGGUUCAUGAACUAUGCCAACCUGCAGCUUUGUUGUACUAGUGAUAGUAGGAUAAUGCAACUUUUGACAAUCCAUG